Molecule: microRNA precursor, 190 nt
Filed under: Oryza rufipogon (brownbeard rice)
Lineage: Eukaryota; Viridiplantae; Streptophyta; Magnoliopsida; Poales; Poaceae
Description: MIR812 microRNA precursor family
Rfam family: MIR812 microRNA precursor family
Source: Rfam by way of RNAcentral
AAAAAGGCAAACCCUGAGUUUCCGUGUCCAACUUUGAUUGUCCGUCUUAUAUGAAAUUUUUUUAUAAUUCGUAUUUUCAUUGUUGUUAGAUGAUAAUACAUGAUUAAUAUUUUAUGCGUGACUUGUCUUUUUAAUUUUUUUUAUAUUUUUUUCAAAUAAGACGGACGGUCAAACAUUGGGCACGGAAACC